RNAcentral lists this transfer RNA (103 nucleotides) under Azotobacter chroococcum. RNAcentral describes it as "tRNA-Val". Lineage: Bacteria; Pseudomonadati; Pseudomonadota; Gammaproteobacteria; Pseudomonadales; Pseudomonadaceae. The record is from RNAcentral.
AGGAAUUAGCCAUAUUUUCCCUGUUUUAUCAAAAGCUUAGGUCUUGCUGGCUAUCACCUUGACAUGGUGGGGGUCGUUGGUUCGAGUCCAAUUGUGCCUACCA